UGGUGUCGAUCGACACCACACAUAUGUUGAUCGACACCCUUAUUUCGGCUGAGAGAAUUUCUGUCUUCUGCCAAGUCUUUGAGAAGCCUUGAAGUUUUCCUUAUUUGCAAAGUAGUCCCUACACGUUUUU
This 130-nucleotide small RNA is filed under the name Arabidopsis thaliana (thale cress). RNAcentral describes it as "ATSL202000". The record is from RNAcentral. Lineage: Eukaryota; Viridiplantae; Streptophyta; Magnoliopsida; Brassicales; Brassicaceae.